This 3129-nucleotide long non-coding RNA is filed under the name Bemisia tabaci. RNAcentral's name for it is "lncRNA ENSSSA3NGG013150". Lineage: Eukaryota; Metazoa; Arthropoda; Insecta; Hemiptera; Aleyrodidae. The record is from RNAcentral.
UGUUGGCGUACCUAUGGGGAUUCGAGCCUGGAAUCCACAGCGUACGAAAGUAACACGCUGCGUACUCAGCGGUCGGGGCAUAUUACACGUCCGUCGGGGGAAUUAACAGUGUGUAAGUAAUUGACCUGGGCUCUCACCGUUACUGUGAAACAGAAUAAGCGUAAGACAUGACGGGUCAAGAGUUCCUGAGCCCGAGAAGAUGAUUUUGGUGGGGGAGAGGAGAAACGCUUGUUACUGUUGUUAUUUUUUGGUGUUUUCAUUUUUUCCUUUUCUCAUAUGAAACUGAUUUAAAAUAUUUUUAAGAUUCACCUUACUUAAAAUUUUCUAUCAUCAUGUAUUCUCGAGGAUCCGUUGACUUUUAAGACGAUAAUAGUAAAGAACGAAACUCUUCGAAAAUGUUCGUAACGUAAUAACGUUUUAUUUCUGAUGCAUGAGAUGGUUAAAAAUUUUUUACUAUUAAUGAUCGUAUUAUAUUCGACUAACAUGUACAAGACUAUUGUGCACGAUUCAUUAGGGGGGUUACGAAGGGAGUUGAUUGUGGAUUUUCCUGUUUCAGUUCAUCCGCGCAAGACGGGCCCGUCGCUGCGUCAACGCCCAAGAAGAGGCUAGGAGGGAAGCCGAGAAGACGGUUUCGGACCGAGAGGAGGACGAGUCACCCGUCGUGGAAGGGGAGGCGACGGAACAAAUCCGAGUCCGAACGCACGACUACGUAGGUCUCCACCCCCAGCACGGACGGGAGUUGGCGAGUAGGCUCGGCCUCCGGGUGGAGGAAAGCCGCCUCCACGAUUACGCGACACAUCCAGAAGGGCGGCACGCGAUCGGGGCGAUGAUCGUGUUCUUCAGGAAGCCACAGGCGGAGCCUCUAAGAUUGCCAUCGUACGAGGAGUCCACGGCGCUGUUGGUAAGGGACGGCCGGACAGGGCGGGAGGUCUUCUCUGGACUAAAGGUGGAAAGCCCAAUCAAGAGCCGAUUUCCCUUCGAAGCGUACGAAGUCGCAGGCGACAGUCUGCACGCCGCAGUGGCGGACGUGGUGUCGACGGUGAACCGCUCCAUCCGGAGAUCAAAGAAGUUACGGGCCCUCCGGCUGUCUCUCUCUCCGGCCUGCCUGAACGGGGAGGACUCGGAUUUUUUUGUCGCGCCGCAUUUUUACACAACGCGCGCUCUCCCGGGAAGAAUCGUGGACAGUUUAGGUGGGAAAAUUAAAAGUUAGUACGUCACGGAAUCUUCAAACAACAAAAACAUUGUUAUUGUUUUAACAUCUAAUCCGACGGAUAACUGAGUAAUCGUUUCUUAGUUUCUUCAUUUAUUUUGAGAGGAAAGCUCUGUACUCAUAAAGGAUGCCUGUCAUUCUUAAUAUGUUGGAGCGCCUUCAAUUUCGUAUGAUACUGUGCAACACCUUUGUUGUGAAAUAGUUGCUUGAGGCGCCGUGGUGGCACGCUGCGGCGCGGCGGCGGGCGGGCGGCCAGAGCGCAUUGGCGCCUACAAACCUAAGGGGAUACUUCAAGUAUUGCGCAAUGCGUGAAGUAUCCCCUUAGGUUUGUAGGCGCUAAUGCGCGUUUUGCGCUGGCAGCACGCCGCCCCGCCACGCCGCUCUAUAUUAGGCUCUAAUAUUUAAACUCGCGAAGUCAGCGUUUUUCAACUCAUGAUUUUGAAAUGUUUGCACACUCUGUAUGAAUUAUUUUCAUUUAAAUUGAUGAAACAAAAAUUGGUAUUAAAGAAAAACAUAAUGUGUGUUUUGUAAAUAUCAAGGUGGUUCUGUGUCAAAUCCAAUGAUUUCCAAAGCACUGUGAUUUUUCUUUUGUAUUUUGUGCUUUUACUGUGCUGCAGCAAGGUGUACACCCGAAAAAACGCUCAAGAUUGGAGUUUUUGACUCGGAGAGAUCAAUGUACAAAUGGGUCAAAUCAAAACCAAAGAUUGAAUGCUUCUUGUUUUUUCCUCUUUUAUUCAUUUUUGUAUAGCUUUUUUCAACACAACUACGGCUCAUUGAGAUUAAUAUCGAUGCAAUCGCUUGGAAAGGUUUUACAAAUAUUUGUCAUGUUUUAAAAAUGUAAAUGUUUUUAAAAUGAAGUAAUAUUUUUAUUUUUUUUAAAAAAAAGGUAUACAACAAUAGUGGUAUACAUACGGUAUAUUUUAUAUCGAAAAUUUUAAGGAUUUUAAGGAAGAACUUUAGGCUACUUUUAAAGUGAGAGGAGUCUUAUUCAGUCAACAUCGGCAAAGAAUAGUUUCGAAUCAGUAAUUCACCAACCACGUAUCUCGGAAUUCAGUGUUGGACCUUAGUUCCACAAACACAUAACUCGGUUUUUCGGUCAUUUCUCCUGACAUACGGGAGUAUUAUUCAAAAUGAUGAUAAAGUCUUAUAAAGCAUCUAAUCCUUGCUGUCUCUAAGGAUUAAUUCCCCUCUACCUUCAAAGAUGAGGAAUGUGGAGGUUUCUCCCCUCUCCUGAAAAAUCGCGUUUUCCGAGUUAUGUGAUUGCCGACUUACACCGUCGAUAUGUGUGCGUGCGAGUGUGCGGCACGGCGCCAUGAAUGUGUUUUAGCCUGAGUUUCAUUUUGAGUCUUUCGCAAAGCUGUAUUAAAGGCCUGCGAGUAUAAGUUCGUUGCGAUACGUACAUGUGCAUUUUUGAGCCAGAAAUUGUAGUUCCUUAUUGCAAAAUAUGAUCCAGCGGGCUGAUGUUUGUAAUUGAUCGACAAAGCUAUAGACAAAGCUGACACACGGCGUAUGGAGCGAUCCUAUUGGUUGAGAUGGGUGGUUUUUGUGGACUUAGGGAGAAAAUCAUGGACUAACUAAAGGGUCUCUCGUGGAUUACCGUUGACUAGUCUAUUACCUACCUUCUUUGUUAAUUGCAACCACCCGCUUCCACGAAUUGGAUCCCUCCUUAUAUCCUUUCAAUCUUUUUGUCUAUAUCGCUUUGUCUACCAAUUCCAACAGUCAGCCCCUAUUCUAACCGCGGAGCAUCCUGUGCAUCGUCGCAGGCCCCGACGCUUUAUCGGAAAACGAGAACAAAUACGAAGUGACAAGGUGGUUGCAAAUUGAUGGUAAUCAAGGAGAUAGUAGGUUCUCGCCGGUCGUGAUACCCGCGACGGAAAUGCGAGGUUCCUGCGGUCAGCACAAAAGCCUUCGCUCCUUUC